AAUAUUGGACAAUGGGCGCAAGCCUGAUCCAGCCAUGCCGCGUGAGUGAUGAAGGCCUUAGGGUUGUAAAGCUAUUUCAGUGGGGAAGAUAAUGACGGUACCAACAGAAGAAGCCCCGGCUAACUCCGUGCCAGCAACCGCGGUAAUACGAAGGGGGCUGCCGUUGUUCGGAUGUACUGGGCGUAAAGCGCACGUAGGCGGAUUGGUAAGUUAGGGGUGAAAUCCAGGAGCUCAACUCCGGAAAUGCCUUUAAUAAUGCCAGUCUAGAGACCGAGAAAGGUGAGUGGAACUCCUAGUGUAGAGGUGGAAUUCGUAGAUAUUAGGAAGAACACCAGUGGCGAAGGCGGCUCACUGGCUCGGUACUGACGCUGAGGUGCGAAAGCGUGGGGAGCAAACA
This 397-nucleotide ribosomal RNA is filed under the name uncultured bacterium. RNAcentral's name for it is "partial 16S ribosomal RNA". It matches the Rfam family "Bacterial small subunit ribosomal RNA", at positions 360 to 774 of the family's 1533-position model. The record is from RNAcentral.